UGGGGAAUAUUGGACAAUGGGCGAAAGCCUGAUCCAGCCAUGCCGCGUGUGUGAAGAAGGUCUUCGGAUUGUAAAGCACUUUAAGUUGGGAGGAAGGGCAUUAACCUAAUACGUUAGUGUUUUGACGUUACCGACAGAAUAAGCACCGGCUAACUCUGUGCCAGCAGCCGCGGUAAUACAGAGGGUGCAAGCGUUAAUCGGAAUUACUGGGCGUAAAGCGCGCGUAGGUGGUUUGUUAAGUUGGAUGUGAAAUCCCCGGGCUCAACCUGGGAACUGCAUUCAAAACUGACUGACUAGAGUAUGGUAGAGGGUGGUGGAAUUUCCUGUGUAGCGGUGAAAUGCGUAGAUAUAGGAAGGAACACCAGUGGCGAAGGCGACCACCUGGACUAAUACUGACACUGAUGUGCGAAAGCGUGGGGAGCAAACA
Molecule: ribosomal RNA, 427 nt
Filed under: uncultured bacterium
Lineage: Bacteria
Description: partial 16S ribosomal RNA
Rfam family: Bacterial small subunit ribosomal RNA
Source: RNAcentral